Molecule: long non-coding RNA, 860 nt
Organism: Brassica napus (rape)
Lineage: Eukaryota; Viridiplantae; Streptophyta; Magnoliopsida; Brassicales; Brassicaceae
Exons: 5
Source: RefSeq, a predicted model, not a curated record
AAUUCUCUAACCCUAAUGACUUUGGUUAGGAGGAGCUGUCGUCUCUUCUUCUUCUGAAACGGUUUGAGUAAAGAGGUGAGUUCAUGUUUACUCUCAUUCAUUCGCCCAUCCACUACGUAGUCUCCAAUGCGCUUUUUUCGAUCUGAAAGUCGGACCUCCCGUAUAAUUAAAUAUGUGUUUUUUUUCUCUGACCUAAGUCCGGCAAGUGCUCCUCCUUCGUCGAGGCUCGGCUCCUGCGGUUCUGGGAGGCCAGGAACGUCAAAAAGGGUGGGGAGCUUAUGUGGAUUGAUAUGCUGCUUGUGGAUGUAAAUCGACGUGAAUGUCAACCGUCUUGCUCCACCAGUAUGAGAUGGACACAUGGUGUUGUUUCGUCUCUCGCUCUAGGUGGACCAAGAAGCUUCAACUGACUGUCUUAGCCUUUACUUGCGUGACCUGCAACAACACUAAUUCUGUUGGUCUCUUCCGGGGCUGUGGAGCAUGAUCUUUAUGGCCUUCUGCAACUCCAGACGGGCAAUGAUGACGAUGGUGGUGAUAUGCCUGGAAUGAACUCAGUCUCUGCUAAGGUGGACGUUGGUGGUAGUGCUCUUGAGGGAGCACCGACUACAUUAUCAGGUCCAAGUGAUCUCGACACUAAGAAGCCUCCGACUCGAGCAUCUUUGAAGAUGGCCGAGAAAUUACGCAUGGCAUAGGUGAAGAUAACGAGAGCUCUGAAUGCAUUAUUUUUUAUUUGAAUAAUGGUAAUGCAUCAAUGUUGCUUAACGAGUUUUUUUUCUUUCGUUCUAUCAGUUUGGGUUUGGUAUGUUUUGUUCAGACGGUGUUUAAAAAUAUUUCUAAGAUUAAAUAAAUUGAUGUAUUUAUCA